GAGUUUGAUCCUGGCUCAGGACGAACGCUGGCGGCGUGCCUAAUACAUGCAAGUCGAGCGAGCUUGCCUAGAUGAUUUUAGUGCUUGCACUAAAUGAAACUAGAUACAAGCGAGCGGCGGACGGGUGAGUAACACGUGGGUAACCUGCCCAAGAGACUGGGAUAACACCUGGAAACAGAUGCUAAUACCGGAUAACAACACUAGACGCAUGUCUAGAGUUUGAAAGAUGGUUCUGCUAUCACUCUUGGAUGGACCUGCGGUGCAUUAGCUAGUUGGUAAGGUAACGGCUUACCAAGGCAAUGAUGCAUAGCCGAGUUGAGAGACUGAUCGGCCACAUUGGGACUGAGACACGGCCCAAACUCCUACGGGAGGCAGCAGUGGGGAAUAUUGCACAAUGGGGGAAACCCUGAUGCAGCAACGCCGCGUGGGUGAAGGAGCGUUUCGGCGCGUAAAGCCCUGUCAGCGGGGAAGAAGAAAGACGGUACCCGACCAAGAAGCCCCGGCUAACUACGUGCCAGCAGCCGCGGUAAUACGUAGGGGGCGAGCGUUAUCCGGAAUUACUGGGUGUAAAGGGAGCGUAGACGGCGAGGUAAGCCU
This 597-nucleotide ribosomal RNA is filed under the name uncultured bacterium. Its description in RNAcentral is "bacterial SSU rRNA". It matches the Rfam family "Bacterial small subunit ribosomal RNA", at positions 9 to 590 of the family's 1533-position model. The record is from RNAcentral.